UCAAUUUUCCAUUGCAAGUUCUUCUUCAAAUUCUCACAAAAUAAGCUAUUCUAAUUGGAUGCCUAAAUUACCUAAUUAUGCGGAGAACCUUUUUGCUUGUUCGAAAUUAGACAGUGAACAUCAUUAUAAUCAUCACAAUAGUAAUAAUACACUCCUCCUAUGUUGGCUCAUGAAAAUAUGAUUUUUUGUUGUUUUUGAUCCUAACUUUACAAUUGUUGUGGCCACUGCUAUUUCUUAACUUAUACCAAGCUUCGUUGGAGAAUUUUCACAAACAGUUAAAGAGCAAAAAGUCACAUAAAUAAUGAAUUUGCAAAAGUAUGAUGCUGAUGCUUCUUUUAUCCCCAAACUGUCAAACUGUAGAACGAAAAAGUGAAAAAAAUACCCCACAAUUUAUUUUUCCCUAAAUUACUCUCACUGAAUAAGCUGAAAUUGAACUCAAAGGAAUCAUAAGUAAGCAGAUAAAGAGAAUUCCAAGUUUAAACAACAAACCUAAAAGCAGACUAACCAACACACAAAGAACAAACGAAGGAAAGAUAUA
RNAcentral lists this long non-coding RNA (538 nucleotides) under Capsicum annuum. RNAcentral's name for it is "long non-coding RNA (CANN_LNC005259)". Lineage: Eukaryota; Viridiplantae; Streptophyta; Magnoliopsida; Solanales; Solanaceae. The record is from RNAcentral.